This 229-nucleotide unclassified non-coding RNA is filed under the name Hevea brasiliensis (rubber tree). Lineage: Eukaryota; Viridiplantae; Streptophyta; Magnoliopsida; Malpighiales; Euphorbiaceae. The record is from RNAcentral.
AUUUAAAUCUCAACUAAAAUUUAAUUAAUAAAAAAUAAAAGUCAUUUGCUUACAUUGUAUUUUAAAUUAUUAAUUAAGUGUAAUAAUCAAACCAAUAAUUAAUCUCAACUGCAUAGAUCAUGCACCUCAUAUGAUAUCAGCAUGUGUCUCUGAUACUUUUCCUUUUCUUUCAUUCAUAGGAGGUUAAACAGUUCACCAGCGAACUCAAUAAAAAGUAGUUCUCUUUUUC